RNAcentral lists this ribosomal RNA (375 nucleotides) under uncultured Deinococcota bacterium. RNAcentral's name for it is "bacterial SSU rRNA". It matches the Rfam family "Bacterial small subunit ribosomal RNA", at positions 1009 to 1382 of the family's 1533-position model. The record is from RNAcentral. Lineage: Bacteria; Thermotogati; Deinococcota.
AGGGAGUGCCUUCGGGAGCCAGGAGACAGGUGGUGCAUGGCUGUCGUCAGCUCGUGUCGUGAGAUGUUGGGAUUAAGUUCCGCAACGAGCGCAACCCUCGUUGCCUGUUGCCAGCACGUGAUGGUGGGCACUCAGGCGAGACUGCCGCAGCAAUGUGGAGGAAGGUGGGGAUGACGUCAAGUCAGCAUGCCCCGUACGCCCUGGGCUACACACAUACUACAAUGCGAGGAGCAAACAGUUGCGAACCCGCGAGGGGGAGCUAAUCUGAGAAGGCCUCGCUCAGUGCAGAUUGCAGGCUGCAACUCGCCUGCAUGAAGGCGGAAUCGCUAGUAACCGUCGGUCAGCAUUACGACGGUGAAUACGUUCCCGGGCCUU